CCUAAUGGACAACAGCCAGUUCACCACAUACUCUCACCCUCUCUCGUUCUCUCUCUUUCGUCUGGAAAAUAAAGACCUUCAUGAAAACUUUAGCAUUGUUUCUGAUGCUGUGUUGUGCUCUGCAACUUAGCACCUCAACUGAAGCAAUAAAGAGUGCAAACAGUAUCUGUUGCUAUAAUGCUACCAAUAUCAAAAUACCUCUGGCACGGCUGGAGUCUUAUUUCUGGAUAAGUUGCCCCAUCAAACGCAUUGUAGCUGGUGUGACAAGACAAGCAACUCUCACCACAAUCUACCCUCCUUCACUCUCCCCUACCUACCUCAUCCCAGCAGUCCAGCCCACUGAUCCCCGGCCAGUCUCAUAAUAUCACCCCUCAAAUUCCAUGCCCAUCCCAGCAACCAGUUCUUCCAUCCUGCCAAAGGAAGAUGCACCACCCAAUCCUCCACCUAUCCACACACCUUAUCAUGGUUGUAGAGGACAAUUUUCAUUUACAUAAAACAGUUUUAAGUUCUCUAUCUCUCUAUAUUGGAUAUAAUUUCUUCACUCUGUAUAUAUAAUGUGUUGAAUCACAUUUUACUAGUGAACCCUUGACUUGCUCAGGCUCUUUAGCAGUUCAGAUGGCUGCUUUAAUGAAAUCAAUAUCAGAAUACCUCGGAAACUGCUCGAGUCUUAUUUCUGGACAAGCAGCAAUUGCCCCCACAAAAACAUUGUGUGAGUAUCCCCUAUAUAUUUUUAGAUGUUCACCUACAGUAUAUUGCUGCUAAUAUUUAGUGUUUACUCACAUUCAUUUAGUUU
Molecule: long non-coding RNA, 793 nt
Organism: Onychostoma macrolepis
Lineage: Eukaryota; Metazoa; Chordata; Actinopteri; Cypriniformes; Cyprinidae
Exons: 3
Source: RefSeq, a predicted model, not a curated record